This 468-nucleotide ribosomal RNA is filed under the name uncultured bacterium. Its description in RNAcentral is "partial 16S ribosomal RNA". It matches the Rfam family "Bacterial small subunit ribosomal RNA", at positions 28 to 507 of the family's 1533-position model. The record is from RNAcentral.
GACGAACGCUGGCGGCGUGCUUAACACAUGCAAGUCGAACGGAAAGGCCCUGCUUUUGUGGGGUGCUCGAGUGGCGAACGGGUGAGUAACACGUGUGUAACCUGCCCUUGACUUUGGGAUAACUUCAGGAAACUGGGGCUAAUACCGGAUAUGAGCUCCUGCUCCAUGGGGUGGGUUGGAAAAUUUCGGCGGUUGUGGAUGGACUCGCUGCUUAUCAGCUGGUUUGUGGGGUAGUUGCUUACCAAGCCUUUGACGGGUAGGCGGCCUGGGAGGGUGAACGGGCACAUUGGGACUGAGGUACGGACCAGACUGCUACGGGCGGCAGCAGUGGAGAAUAUUGCGCAAUGAGGGGAAGCCUGAUGCAGCAACGCCGCGUGCGGGAUGACGGCUUACGGGUUGUAAACCGCUUUCGAAGGUGACGAAGAGUGAGUGACGGUAAUGAGUAAAGAAGCACCGGCUAACUACGUG